Molecule: transfer RNA, 85 nt
Filed under: Hyphomicrobiales bacterium
Lineage: Bacteria; Pseudomonadati; Pseudomonadota; Alphaproteobacteria; Hyphomicrobiales
Also listed under: 1 other name
Description: Rhizobiales bacterium tRNA-Tyr
Rfam family: tRNA
About the family: Transfer RNA (tRNA) molecules are approximately 80 nucleotides in length. Their secondary structure includes four short double-helical elements and three loops (D, anti-codon, and T loops).
Source: RNAcentral
GGAGGAUUGCCCGAGUGGUUAAAGGGGACGGACUGUAAAUCCGUUGGCUACGCCUACGUUGGUUCAAAUCCAACAUCCUCCACCA